UACGUAGGGUGCGAGCGUUAUCCGGAAUUAUUGGGCGUAAAGAGCUCGUAGGCGGUUUGUCGCGUCUGCCGUGAAAGUCCGGGGCUCAACUCCGGAUCUGCGGUGGGUACGGGCAGACUAGAGUGAUGUAGGGGAGACUGGAAUUCCUGGUGUAGCGGUGAAAUGCGCAGAUAUCAGGAGGAACACCGGUGGCGAAGGCGGGUCUCUGGGCAGUAACUGACGCUGAGGAGCGAAAGCGUGGGGAGCGAACAGG
RNAcentral lists this ribosomal RNA (253 nucleotides) under uncultured bacterium. RNAcentral's name for it is "partial 16S ribosomal RNA". It matches the Rfam family "Bacterial small subunit ribosomal RNA", at positions 524 to 776 of the family's 1533-position model. The record is from RNAcentral.